RNAcentral lists this ribosomal RNA (507 nucleotides) under uncultured bacterium. RNAcentral's name for it is "bacterial SSU rRNA". It matches the Rfam family "Bacterial small subunit ribosomal RNA", at positions 890 to 1396 of the family's 1533-position model. The record is from RNAcentral.
AAGAUUAAAACUCAAAGGAAUAGACGGGGACCCGCACAAGUGGUGGAGCAUGUGGUUUAAUUCGAAGAUACGCGAAGAACCUUACCUAGCCUUGACAUAUUUUAGAAUCUUUUAGAGAUAGAGGAGUGCCUUCGGGAGCUAAUAUACAGGUGCUGCACGGCUGUCGUCAGCUCGUGUCGUGAGAUGUUGGGUUAAGUCCCGCAACGAGCGCAACCCUCGUCACUAGUUACUAACGGUUCGGCCGAGGACUCUAGUGAGACUGCCUUCGCAAGGAGGAGGAAGGUGAGGACGACGUCAAGUCAUCAUGGCCCUUACGGCUAGGGCAACACACGUGCUACAAUGGCCAGGACAAUGAGAGGCAAUACCGCGAGGUGGAGCAAAUCUCAUAAAAUAUCUCCCAGUUCGGAUUACACUCUCCAACUCGAGUGUAUGAAGUUGGAAUCGCUAGUAAUCGUAGAUCAGCAAUGCUACGGUGAAUACGUUCCCGGGUCUUGUACUCACCGCCCG